CCUACGGGAGGCAGCAGUGGGGAAUAUUGCACAAUGGGGGGAACCCUGAUGCAGCGACGCCGCGUGAGUGAAGAAGUAUUUCGGUAUGUAAAGCUCUAUCAGCAGGGAAGAAAAUGACGGUACCUGACUAAGAAGCCCCGGCUAACUACGUGCCAGCAGCCGCGGUAAUACGUAGGGGGCAAGCGUUAUCCGGAUUUACUGGGUGUAAAGGGAGCGCAGACGGCUGUGCAAGUCUGGAGUGAAAGGCGGGGGCACAACCCCCGGACUGCUCUGGAAACUGUAAAGCUGGAGUGCAGGAGAGGUAAGCGGAAUUCCUAGUGUAGCGGUGAAAUGCGUAGAUAUUAGGAGGAACACCAGUGGCGAAGGCGGCUUACUGGACUGCAACUGACGUUGAGGCUCGAAAGCGUGGGGAGCAAACAGGAUUAGAUACCCCUGUAGUC
This 440-nucleotide ribosomal RNA is filed under the name uncultured bacterium. RNAcentral describes it as "partial 16S ribosomal RNA". It matches the Rfam family "Bacterial small subunit ribosomal RNA", at positions 338 to 795 of the family's 1533-position model. The record is from RNAcentral.